Molecule: ribosomal RNA, 253 nt
Filed under: uncultured bacterium
Lineage: Bacteria
Description: partial 16S ribosomal RNA
Rfam family: Bacterial small subunit ribosomal RNA
Source: RNAcentral
UACGUAGGGUGCAAGCGUUGCCCGGAUUUAUUGGGCGUAAAGGGCGCGCAGGCGGCCGAGCACGUCCGUUGUGAAAUCGCCUGGCUCAACUGGGCGGGGUCAGCGGAUACGGCUAGGCUGGAGCAAGCUAGGGGGCAAUGGAAUUCCUGGUGUAGCGGUGAAAUGCGCAGAUAUCAGGAGGAACACCGAUUGCGAAGGCAGCUCGCUGGGACGUUACUGACGCUGAGACGCGAAAGCGUGGGGAGCAAACAGG